This 1908-nucleotide long non-coding RNA is filed under the name Anas platyrhynchos platyrhynchos (common mallard). Its description in RNAcentral is "lncRNA (ENSAPLG00000019583.1)". The record is from RNAcentral. Lineage: Eukaryota; Metazoa; Chordata; Aves; Anseriformes; Anatidae.
UUUCUCCAUGCUUUUUCUAUACAUUGUUUCUUGCCCGCUAUCAUACACAAGUGCAAGACCUCCAGAAAGUUAAUCAUCUCAUAUUUCAAAGUUUUCCACAAUUGUAUAGAUGCUCUCUUGAAGACUAUCUUGUCAAAGAGAAGAAUCUCUUACUUUUCACUUUGGGAGAGAGAAUAUAGAACAUCAUGAGAAAGGCAAACACAGACACCAUGGAAAUGCCUGGUGCCUUUUGUUAAGCACUUCAAAUUAGUUGCUGAAAGUACAAAGCUAUUAUCCACAUAUAUAUCCUGUACAGCAGCUGGCAACAAACAAGCAGUGAAAGCAGUAUUCAUCCAAGCCCUCAACAGGACAUUUGUUUAAAACAAAAGCCAAACCUAAACCCAACCAAACAAAAAGAACACCCGCACACACACCUGCAUUGAAUUGUUAGCUGUGUACAGGACAGGCUCCUCUAAGCUUCGCUGCUAGUGCAGGGAAGAGUUACACUUCUGAAAAAAAGUUUCCAACCAAAGAGGCAGAAUUCUUACAAGUAUAAAUAUAUUUACAAUGAAUUGGUUUCUCCACUAUUACAACAGCUAAGGUGUUCUCUAGGUGAUGCAUUAGACCAGAAAGAUAAAAAAAUACAACUUUAGAGGAACCGCACAUCUCACAAAUUAGGAAGGAAUCUUACGACUCUUCUGUUAAGACAAAUGGAAAUUACCAGCUUACUAAGAAAACAAUGUCAGAGCUCCUUGGCUGGGCAGACAAGAGGAGGACUGCCAGUUUCCUAACAAGCAAGGUGGCAAUCCUGUUGAUGAGAAUUGGCAAGGUCUUAAAGCUGAAUGGAAGAGGGGAGUAUGUGUGGAAAAUUCCUCCUCCACCCACCCCUGCAACCUACACAAGAAAAAUCUUCCACCGAGGUAGCAAGUACAAUGAAAGCGUUAGUCUCCACACGGGCACCAACCCAGUACUCAGCACUAUGCAGCCAAUGCAGAUGGUGAGCCUGAAGCUGUCCAGGAGCAAGGGAUGCUCAGUGAGAACCAACUCAGAACUGUGAUGCUGCUGUCAUCAGGGGCUACAGCUUUCUGCACUCGUCAGUCUGAAAUGGACUGAUUUAACACAUCUCCAAGAGAAAGAGGAUGAGCUAAUCGUGCACACAGGUGCAGAGAGUGAAAUGAAAAUAGAUACAUGUAAACGUAGACAUGGAAGAGGUAUCUUUCUGCAGAUGUUUUAGCUUGCUUUACAAAUUGCCACCACCAAGUUGCAAGUACACUGGUACCAAAGUGCAAUGUGGAGAGCCUGAGUAGGAACUAACAACAUGAACAAAUUCUUUGACAGCAUUGCAGGUACUAACAGGGCUUAACAAACAUAUCUAAUGCAUUGCACUAUAUUAUUAAUGACUUUUGUACCAUCAGCUGCUAAUCUCACAGAGAUCAAAAAUCAAUUGGAGACAGCUGCCACUUCACUUUCCCUGACAUCUCAAUUGAAAUUUCAAGUUUCUCUUACACAGUGCUGACAAUAACAUAGUAAGGAGAAUAUUUUGUGAAGAAGCCUAUGGGUCUCACUGCAGUGCAAAAAAGAGAGUGCUAACUAUCCAAAAUGACAAAUACGUACUGGAGAUUUGCUGGAGUAUUCCAUGUUUUUCCCCAAAGAUCAUGGGCUUACCAUUCUUCACACUUAAAUGCUGUGAAGUGCAGCACAAUCAACAACUUCAAAAAAAUAUAUAUUUUGGACUCUCUGCCAUUUAAGAUAAAAUAUUCGCAACUAAGCUGGUUGAAACAUCCAACCCAUCUUGUGAGUUUGUCCAUAAAACUAACCUCCAGCAGGACAUAAAAAAGGGGAUCCAUGUUUGAUUCAUCUGAAAGUGUUAACUGGAAAUUCCACUCAGCUAGUAAUAAAGAGGAGAAAAUAAAUGGUUAUUCCCUUUUU